UACAGAGGUGGCAAGCGUUGUUCGGAUUCAUUGGGCGUAAAGGGUUCGUAGGCGGCUCGGAAAGUCAGAUGUGAAAUCCCACGGCUUAACCGUGGAACUGCAUUUGAAACUCCCGAGCUAGAGUGCGAGAGGGGUAACGGGAAUUCCCGGUGUAAGGGUGAAAUCUGCAGAGAUCGGGAAGAACACCAGUCGCGAAGGCGCGUUACUGGCUCGCAACUGACGCUGAGGGACGAAAGCUAGGGGAGCAAACGGG
RNAcentral lists this unclassified non-coding RNA (253 nucleotides) under uncultured bacterium. Its description in RNAcentral is "contains 16S-23S intergenic spacer region". It matches the Rfam family "Bacterial small subunit ribosomal RNA", at positions 524 to 776 of the family's 1533-position model. The record is from RNAcentral.